GUUCUGAUGGGACUCUGAUGAAGGCGGAAGGAAUCGCUGAAACAUGUCAGGGGCCGCCACGUAAAGGGUGAGGCUUCCCGUGGACUAAAGGUGCAUGUUUAAAUAAAACAGUCCCAAGGUUGCCUCUCUGCCCCAGACAACCACAUCGUCUCUGUAACUGGAGAAGGACCCGUCCAGGAAACACAUGAUGGAGACGUCGGCAUGCCUGCACCAGGCGCGUAGCCAGUAAUGGGCCUACACACAUUACUGCCGCUAGAGGAGGUUAGCCCUGCCGCUAGAGGAGGUUAGCCCUGCCGCUAGAGGAGGUUAGCUCUGCCGCUAGAGGAGGUUAGCCCUGCCGCUAGAGGAGGUUAGCCCUGCCGCUAGAGGAGGUUAGCCCUGCUGCUAGAGGAGGUUAGCCCCGCCGCUAGAGGAGGUUAGCUCUGCCGCUAGAGGAGGUUAGCCCUGCCGCUAGAGGAGGUUAGCCCUGCUGCUAGAGGAGGUUAGUCCUGCCGCUGGCUCGUCGGCACCAGCGCUCUACUCCGGUCAACCUGCGCUACCCCUGCAUUUAUCCGCAAUUGAUGAACCACCUUCACAGCCAAGUGUGGGUGUAUUUAGGCUACAAUAGUGGCAAAUAGGCUACUGGCCUAUAUAGCCAGGUUUUCAUGCUCUGUUGGUUGAGUAUGUUGUGUUUAAUUGUCAUAAUGCAUUUGUAAUGCAGAUUACAAAGUAAAAUUGACACUGCCUUUAAUCUGUCUGUUUGUCAUGUUUUCUGCUUAAAAGUUUUUAUAAGUCCGCUUGUUCUGGGACAAAAUGGCCCACCCAUUUUUGUCCUGGCCCACCCAAAAAAAUAUUGCUGCCUACACCACUGGCCUGCACAGGAUCAACAGCAAGUUUAUACUACGCUAUGCAUUGUGGGAGCGGACUCGCAGCGGGGGCAGCGACGAGUCAGAGAUGCCUGAAUCAACAGUUUUUGUCAUGCAUAUUUUGUACACAUACAAAGUUGAAUUUGCCUCGUCUGCAGAAACGCCGUCCCCUCUUUCAUUGACAUUUUCAGGUUUCGUAAUUUUGACUAAAGGACUAAAACUAAACUUCAGUUCACACUAUUUUGGUAUUUAAUAAAAGUUCUCGCUCCAAACCUUUCAGCAGUGGGCGUUGGUUUGUUUUGACUGGGAAAUGUUCCUUUAACUCUCCGUUCCCGCCGGCUGCAGCAGGCGGCUGCGCGACAGUCAGCAUUAUUCAGCAGCGUCCUCCUGCAGCCUGAAGCGUUCUGUAGAUUACAGUGAAACUGGUGUGUAAUGAGGCCGCAGAUGGCGAAGCACAAUGCUUCCUGAUGUCUCCGUGCGCUUGCAGUCAUGUAAUCAUGAUGGUCAUUUCUGCAACACUGAUGCCUUUUGUGCAUCGUCGUGACAGCAGGCCACUCUGAGGCGGGCAGUUCUUUCAAACCUUUUAAAUGCAACGACCUUUGAAAUCAGCGAAUGAACUCGCUAUCGAUUGAUCUGACAGGAUUUGGGGAUUUUUUUAAAUACAAAUCCUUAAAAACAUGUUGAAUCUGACAUACAGUGGCUUCUGAUCGAUGUGCAGUACUUUAUGAAUAAAAAUCACCACGCUACGCAUCAAGUAAUCACCAGAAUUCAUCAGAGCUGGAAAUGGCAAGAAACUCAAGGAACUUCUGCCUGGUGGUGCUGUUGAAGACUUAACUAACUUAACAACAACUUAACUACUGUAGAGGGUUUUUUUUCAGCUACUGGAUGCCCUAAAUUUCCUCCGGGAUUAAUAAAGUAUCCAUCUAUCUAUCCAUCUAUUUAUUGUGACAACCCCUCCCCUGAUGUUGGUGGCACUGUGGUUGUUACUAACUUUUUAUUUUCCUGUUCCACAGCUGAGGAAAAUAAGCCACGCCUGAUUUCACUCCCCCUGUUUACUCUCCCUAAUGGCCUGGGCUAUAAAAGAGGUCAGAGAAGGCAGUUCUCUCUCUCUCUUCUCCCAGGCAACGGGAUGUUGGUUUGGUUGUUUUGGGUUCAGUUAGAGUUAUUUUACUUUACAUAUUCCAACACUCCAUCACCCCCAUACACUCACUACAUGACUGACAUUACUGAUGAACAUAUUUCCCUUUACUUUUGCAUAUAAUUUAGUUGGGUUCAAUAAAUUGUGUUUCUUUAAUCCA
Long non-coding RNA from Cololabis saira (Pacific saury), 2143 nucleotides. RefSeq lists it as uncharacterized. The record is from RefSeq and is a predicted model, not a curated record. Lineage: Eukaryota; Metazoa; Chordata; Actinopteri; Beloniformes; Belonidae. The transcript has 2 exons.